UACGUGGGCAGCAAGCGUUGUUCGGAGUUACUGGGCGUAAAGAGUGUGUAGGCGGUUUGCCCAGUUCGGUGUGAAAUCUCCCGGCUCAACUGGGAGGGUGCGCCGAAAACUGGCAGGCCGGAGUGCGGGAGGGGAGAGCGGAAUUCCUGGUGUAGCGGUGAAAUGCGUAGAUAUCAGGAGGAACACCGGUGGUGUAGACGGCUCUCUGGACCGCAACUGACGCUGAGACACGAAAGCGUGGGGAGCAAACAGG
This 253-nucleotide ribosomal RNA is filed under the name uncultured bacterium. Its description in RNAcentral is "partial 16S ribosomal RNA". It matches the Rfam family "Bacterial small subunit ribosomal RNA", at positions 524 to 776 of the family's 1533-position model. The record is from RNAcentral.